Molecule: ribosomal RNA, 348 nt
Filed under: Triticum aestivum (bread wheat)
Lineage: Eukaryota; Viridiplantae; Streptophyta; Magnoliopsida; Poales; Poaceae
Description: partial small subunit ribosomal RNA
Source: RNAcentral
AUGCAUGCAUGCGCUGGAGUUAAUGCCAGAUUAAAGCACCUUUUUUGCGGGGAGAAAGUGCUAAUUGGACAGUUUUGCAACCUAUGUAAUUUGUUCCACCACUCGCUAUCUACUUUGGUUGAGGAGUUUUUUGAGUUAAGGCCUUUAAACCAGAAGGGAGGGAGUAUAUGCCUCUAUCUUCAUCCUCCUCCCCAGGGAAAACUGCUCAGAAGCAGCCCAAUCUCCUCUGCUCGUCAGCUGCUAGGAGAUAGCACUGGAGCUUCCCGCCUCCCCCAUCUCACUUCCGAGCUCCCAUGGCGCUGCAGCCCCGUCCUCUCCUCUGACCUAGGCAGUACAGUUGCCAGGUAG